CCGCGCUCCGAGCUCACCGAGCCUGCGGCCGGUUCAAGGAGCCACAUUAGCAGAUUAAUCCAACCCAAGGAGAAGAUUGUGGGAACCUCAAAUCUGCAGCCAACUGGUCAGAAACACAGCCAUUUACUGAAUAUUGGAGCACUUUGGAAAACAAAGCAAAACAA
Molecule: long non-coding RNA, 164 nt
Organism: Neogale vison (American mink)
Lineage: Eukaryota; Metazoa; Chordata; Mammalia; Carnivora; Mustelidae
Exons: 3
Source: RefSeq, a predicted model, not a curated record